This 246-nucleotide long non-coding RNA is filed under the name Vicia faba (fava bean). The record is from RNAcentral. Lineage: Eukaryota; Viridiplantae; Streptophyta; Magnoliopsida; Fabales; Fabaceae.
AUGCAGCCUCAUUACACUGAUGCACAACCGAAUGGAGUAGAUUCGGUGGCUCUUCAGAGCGUUGAAGAAUUCAUGAAAACCAGAGGUGAUGAUGAUGUCAAGGUGCUGAGGAUGAAGGUUGGAGGAGGAGCAAUUGGUGAUGAAGAUUGUUGCAGUUGUGGUUAUGAAUUCGUAAAGAGAAAUCAGAGAGAUGAGAGUGAAGUUUGUUUAAGGUUGAUAUACGAUGAGGAAGAUGAUGAAGGUUGA